Molecule: long non-coding RNA, 549 nt
Organism: Leptopilina boulardi
Lineage: Eukaryota; Metazoa; Arthropoda; Insecta; Hymenoptera; Figitidae
Exons: 2
Source: RefSeq, a predicted model, not a curated record
GUUGACUGCUAUCAUAAGACAGGUCAGCUGACUGCACGUGGUGUCUGCGUACAACCAAUCAAAUUUCUCGCCCUUCCAAUUGUGUAAAUUGACCUUAAAACUAACUGGCGGGAAAUUCAAAUCUCAAAAAAAAACCAAGUGAGCUUAAAGUUCACUUUUCUUCAUGAAGAGAUGGUGAUUCUCCUAAAACUGGUCAUUUUCGGGAGAGAAUUUUUUUUUUUAAGUAACUGAAAUUUUUUUUUAUUAAUUUCUAUUUAUUUUCAUCAAACACAGUAUUUUAGAUUUUCAGUAUAAUUAUUGUUUCAAAAUUUUUAAUCCGUUAAAUUUUAUAAUAAGAAGAAAAAUGCUAUGUAGUACCAGUAUUAGCCGGAAGUGCGUAAUAAGUAAAUUCUUGUACAAAUAACUUUUGCGCAUCUUCGUGCGCAACUUGUUCUGUAUCAUAACCUGCAAUUAUUAUUGUUUUGAUGUUUUCGUGAUUCUGUAUAAACAUGUAAAAAUUGUAUGUAAAUACUUGUUUAAGUUUAUAAAUAAAAUAAUAAAGUAAACCUA